UAAAAGACGAAGCAGAUGUGAUGCAGAUGUGAUUUUUGAAGAGUAGGAAGAUAUCCUGUGUGCUGUGGAGCUUUUACACUUGUUACUUGCUGCUCAAAUUCGCUUGGUGCAGGUCGGGAAUGCCUUUGUGUUGUAGAAAAGCUUUCAUAAGAUGCAUUGACCAUUCCCCGCCUACAUCAAUUGAAUUGGAGCCCCAUAGUGAAGACUGCAAACUAUGUCAGGAUGGAUCCAGUCUCUAUACAAAUGGCCUUUGCUGAGUAAUGGGUAUUCCAUAUAUGCAAGCAGUCUACGCAUAUGUGCCCUGAAAAUUGACAUUUUUCUCUUCUGUUACUUGAGUAAGUGACUGAAGGCCGAAGUGAAGAUUGUAUCUUUGCAGCUAGACUGACACCAAUGGCAUAUUUAUGGUUAUUAAAGUAUUUUUGUGAAUCCAUCUACAGAUAUCAAGUAAAUUGCUCCGGAUGAAAUGGCAAGUGUGAUAAGAAUGCGAAAUAUGCUCGCAUGGCAGGCAUUCUCUUUCCACCCUGAUAUAUGAGGAAUAUGUCAAAAAGUCAUCAAUGUGAAACCUGCUAGUACGGUGUUUCUGGCACAUUGGAGUGUAUAUGUAAAUUCAUCGAAGCCCAGGCAGACCCUGACUGCAUGGCACUGGUAAGAAACACUUAGAGACAUUCUUUGCAACUUGUGCUUUGCUCAUGCACUAAUGAAUUCACAUAUUUUUUUCAUGGACAAAACUGCUAUUCGCUUCAUUGGCAACAUCUCCCUAAUAAUCAGAUUCAGUUCCAUAGUAGUUGGCAAAAAUCAAGGAGGCUGAUCGAACAUAAUCUGGUUUUAAUGUCUGAUGCAUGUUACCAGUGAAUGCAUCUACAGAUAUCAAGUAAAUUGCUCCGGAUGAAAUGGCAAGUGUGAUAAGAAUGCGAAAUAUGCUCGCACGGCAGGCAUUCUCUUUCCACCCUGAUAUAUGAGGAAUAUGUCAAAAAGUCAUCAAUGUGAAACCUGCUAGUACGGUGUUUCUGGCACAUUGGAGUGUAUAUGUAAAUUCAUCGAAGCCCAGGGAGACCCUGACUGCAUGGCACUGGUAAGAAACACUUGGAGACAUUCUUUGCAACUUGUGCUUCGCUCAUGCACUGAUGCAACUAAAUUUUAUGUGGCAAUCGUAUUUUGAUAACUUUGUUCUUUUGAUGCCACUUUGAAUGGUAAAUUCAAAAUUCUUCAUCUGCCUGCAGUAUGUAAGAGUGAUAAUGCUGAUCUGAGUAGCAAGUAGCCACCUCCACUAAUUAUGUCGAAAUUUAUUAGCACAUAAUUGUUCCUUGCAUUUUAAUAUCUUAAGUUUUUCAAAUUUGUUAAGUCAUUGAAGUUGUUUGAUAAGAUUAUACUUGCAGAGAGGGUUUGGGUUGCUUACUGUGAGUUAUUUGAACCUCGGGCACUUUUAUAGACAAUUCAUGAUUAUGAAGAAUGUAGUCGGCAUUUCAAGCAAAAGAAAUGUGUAUUUCUAUAAUGAAAUGCAUGCCUUCACUACUGGAAUCAAGAUAUUUAUUUUUGUCCCAUCCAUUUUUAAUAUGUUCUUAUCUUGCUUGGCUUCUUAUCCCUUUUUUUAAAGACUAAUUUAUUUGUUGAUGUGAAGUGCUUUUUGGUGUGUGCAUGGUAUCUUUUUUCGAACUUAUCUUUUUUCGAACUAUGUACAUAGUCCAUUUGUUGCUAUAUUACCACACAAAGAUAGACUAGCAAUUGUACCUUAAGGUUUAAUGGGCAUGGUAAUAGGUGCAGCAAGAUUUACCACAUUGCAACUAGAAAUACUAUGGUGUAUUAUUUGACCUAAAAUCUGUAGGUAAUGCUAAACAAUGAAGCGUGACCUUCGUAAUCUAUAUUCUAUAUUUGUCGUUUUUUAAAUUUUGCUGUGCAGUUUCAGAUAGGCUCCAGCAAGUUUCUUUUUUUAACAGAUAAUUGUAUGGGGUUUUAGUGGGGACCGUGGGAGAAAAUAGAAGGAUGAUUACAAAGUUUCCCAACGAAGUAGCUUAGAGAAACAAACACUAUAGCCUUUAAGCAAGCUUUUUGCUACCUUUAAGAAAAGGAAUCACUUUUUCUCUUUCAAAUGGGAUCUUACCGCCAUGCUAAGAGGCUUUUAUUUUUUAUCUUGCUUUCCUGUUGGUAAUAGUAGAUCAUUUGUCAUGUUCUUGUUCUCAGAAGCAAAAACUGGCUCCUCCUCAAAUCCUUUUCUCACUAUAAGAUCUGUCAUCUAUGGGGAAGUCAUCUUCUGAUGAAAAUGGAUUCAUGUUCUCUAAUUUCUGAAUGCUGAACAUUACAUACAUUACAUAUCAUUUUCAAAAGAAAUUGCUAAGAGGUUAAAAAUAUUUCAAGUAUUGUCAAAAGACAUUUGGUUUAAUCGCGAAGUCCAUGUUGUAGGCACUUAGAUGGUGCUGAGUUCAAAUCUUCUAUAAUACUCUAAAAAAAAGAGAAUAUCACAAUUAUUCAAUUUUGAACAUCUAGUUUCAAAUUUCCAAUGCUCUACCAAAUAGGCUUUUGGCUCUAGCCUCUUCACUACCCUCGCACCCACAUCCUUCCAUGUCCCCCUAAUUAUAGCCCCCUACACUAAGAGCCAUAUCCUUAGUUGCAGGUUGCUCUGCUGAUGUAGAAUUAUUCUUCAAAGCUACAUUUUUAAAUAAGGGAUGGGAAUCUAAAGAACAUACAACUAAAUGAUGUUCAAGGUAGCGUACUUCCACCAUGUUGAACACCUUGAGGAGCAUUUAGCAGUCCCAAUAGCGAAGGCGUACUUAUCCUAAUCAAAUGAUUUCCUUUUCAUCUUUUGAGGCAUAUUUUCACGUGGACUUUGAACAAAUCAAAAUUCACUGAGAUUUUAGUUAGUGUUGAGAGGAACAAAAGAGGGAUGGGUAAAUUUGGUAACCUUGUCCAAAUAGAAGAAACUAAAAAAAUUCCUUUGAGAGGGUUGAAUCUUGGAUACCAUGGCUUUAGGAAGAGUAUAGUUGUCUCCUAGGUGAAAGGACCCUUCUCUAUAAUUUUGUUUUUAUAUUCUAAUGACUCACAAGAACUACAAAGAAGCCCUA
Cryptomeria japonica (Japanese cedar) is the source of this 3056-nucleotide long non-coding RNA. RefSeq lists it as uncharacterized. Lineage: Eukaryota; Viridiplantae; Streptophyta; Pinopsida; Cupressales; Cupressaceae. The record is from RefSeq and is a predicted model, not a curated record. The transcript is spliced from 3 exons.